This 850-nucleotide long non-coding RNA is filed under the name Nicotiana tabacum (common tobacco). RNAcentral describes it as "long non-coding RNA (NTAB_LNC002365)". Lineage: Eukaryota; Viridiplantae; Streptophyta; Magnoliopsida; Solanales; Solanaceae. The record is from RNAcentral.
UUGCCUACUGCACCUGCGGGCAUGAAACAUAGGCCCCGUGAAAUAGGGCGUCAGUAAGAAAAAUGUACUGAGUAUGUAAGGCAUGAAAAUUAGUACGUAAAAUACAUAGAUGAAACAUGGAAGAAGGAAACACAUUUUUAAAUCUGAAUAACUUUGUAAAUUCUGAAACGUUUAUAAUGUCAUGCUCGUGCGUAUAAAUGUUGUUCCAUGCAUAAUUAUGGGUGUAUAUAAAAUUAUCAAGCCACUGAGGGCAUCCCAUCAUAUCAUCUCGGCCACUGUGGGCAACAUCAUCAACAUAUAUCAGCUGAUCAGGUGGUGAUGCGUAUAUAACGCCGUAACCUUUUUCCAUAUCCCAUAUACAUAUAUUUACAUAUAUAUGCAUGUAUAACGUCAUCUGGUCAUGGGUCAAUGCACAUGUAUAAUUGAGUGAAAUGCAUGAAAAGUACGUAAUAAUCUCAAUAUUCCUUCUGGAUAAACUUUUUCAACUGUGUAUUAUUUUGAGACCCAUGAACAGAAGAUAAUAAUAUUUUUCAUGAGAAAUCAAAAAUAUAGACACCCCUACUAUAUCUAUGAAUAGAGUAAUUUAUGGAAACUGUGUGUUUGCUCGUUUCUUCUGUAUAAUUUGGACUAUGCCAAAAGAAGGAAGGGAGGGCCUUAACAUACCUGUUCCUGGAAUUUUUUGAACGGAAUGAAGCUUCUGCUUCCGUGAAAUAUAUUUAACGAAAUUCUGCCUAAAUCCUUUGAAAUUUUGAAAUGAAUUGUGGUGGCUUCUUUUGAAAUUUCAGUCGAAAAUUUUUGGCUAAGAAAUUGAAUUGUUUGGACGAAAUGUUUGUUGUUUUCUAAGUUUUUG